GAGCCUGUAGGUCACUGGAUGGAGCGUUUGUUUCCUAAGCAGAAGGUCAUAGGUUCGACCCCUAUCUGGCCCG
Molecule: transfer RNA, 73 nt
Organism: Gossypium raimondii (Peruvian cotton)
Lineage: Eukaryota; Viridiplantae; Streptophyta; Magnoliopsida; Malvales; Malvaceae
Rfam family: tRNA
About the family: Transfer RNA (tRNA) molecules are approximately 80 nucleotides in length. Their secondary structure includes four short double-helical elements and three loops (D, anti-codon, and T loops).
Source: Rfam